This 88-nucleotide small RNA is filed under the name uncultured Buttiauxella sp. Its description in RNAcentral is "OmrA-B family". It matches the Rfam family "OmrA-B family". The record is from RNAcentral. Lineage: Bacteria; Pseudomonadati; Pseudomonadota; Gammaproteobacteria; Enterobacterales; Enterobacteriaceae.
CCCAGAGGUAUUGAUUGGUGAGAAUUCUGUGUACGCUGUGCGUACAACUCUUCUUGCACCGACCUGCGCAGAAGCGCAGGUUUUUUUU